Molecule: long non-coding RNA, 238 nt
Filed under: Capsicum annuum
Lineage: Eukaryota; Viridiplantae; Streptophyta; Magnoliopsida; Solanales; Solanaceae
Description: long non-coding RNA (CANN_LNC011396)
Source: RNAcentral
CACCGGCCUUGCUGGGCAUCAACGUGGCAUUAAUAUAUCCUCCGUCCUUGGUGGGCAUCAACAUAACAUCAAUAUAUCCUCUGGGUUUAUCGGGCAUCAUCAAAAUAUCAAUACCUCUUUUGGGUUUACCGGGCAUCACCAUAUUAUCAAUAUAUCCUCCGGCCUUGUUGGGCAGUAACAUAGCAUUAGUAUAUCCUUCAGCCUUGCCGGCUAUCAACAUAACAUCAAUAUAUCCUCC